GCUUUCCUGUGGCUCAGUUGGUAGAGCACUGUGUUAACAAUGCAAAGAUCCUGGGUUCAAAUUCCAGGGAAAGCA
This is a non-coding RNA of Danionella cerebrum, 75 nucleotides long. NCBI's taxonomy places the organism in Eukaryota, Metazoa, Chordata, Actinopteri, Cypriniformes, Danionidae. The record is from the annotation of a GenBank genome assembly.